AACGAACGCUGGCGGCAGGCUUAACACAUGCAAGUCGAACGCCCCGCAAGGGGAGUGGCAGUCGGGUGAGUAACGCGUGGGAACAUACCCUUUUCUACGGAAUAGCCCUGGGAAACUGGAAUUAAUACCGUAUACGCCCUACGGGGGAAAGAUUUAUCGGGGAAGGAUUGGCCCGCGUUGGAUUAGCUAGUUGGUGGGGUAAAGGCCUACCAAGGCGACGAUCCAUAGCUGGUCUGAGAGGAUGAUCAGCCACAUUGGGACUGAGACACGGCCCAAACUCGGAAGGGAGGCAGAAGGGGGGAACAGGGGAGAACGGGCGGAAGCCGGAGCGAGACAUACCGCGUGGGUGAAGAAGGCCUUAGGGUUGUAAAGAAUUGUGGUGGGGAAAGAAAUGCAGCAGGUUAAUACCCCGGUGGUCGGACGGGAGAAAAAGAAUAGGAACAGGCGAAAUUCGGG
This 456-nucleotide ribosomal RNA is filed under the name uncultured bacterium. RNAcentral's name for it is "partial 16S ribosomal RNA". It matches the Rfam family "Bacterial small subunit ribosomal RNA", at positions 30 to 507 of the family's 1533-position model. The record is from RNAcentral.